UACAGAGGGUGCAAGCGUUAAUCGGAUUCACUGGGUUUAAAGGGUGCGUAGGCGGGUAAGUAAGUCCGUGGUGAAAUCUCUGAGCUUAACUCAGAAACUGCCGUGGAUACUAUUUGCCUUGAAUAUUGUGGAGGUGAGCGGAAUAUGUCAUGUAGCGGUGAAAUGCUUAGAUAUGACAUAGAACACCAAUUGCGAAGGCAGCUCACUACACAAUCAUUGACGCUGAGGCACGAAAGCGUGGGGAUCAAACAGG
RNAcentral lists this ribosomal RNA (253 nucleotides) under uncultured bacterium. Its description in RNAcentral is "partial 16S ribosomal RNA". It matches the Rfam family "Bacterial small subunit ribosomal RNA", at positions 524 to 776 of the family's 1533-position model. The record is from RNAcentral.